UACACAUACACCCCCACACAUACACAAACAUGGAUCCGCACAACUCUUUCUUUUUAUUUUUUGUGAAGUACAAGAAAGUUGUAUGCAUCCAUCCUAAAAAUAACAUCACAUAUAGCCUUUCAACUCUGUCUCAUUAGAUGCAGGUUUAUGUUAUUUAUGAACUUGCUUGACUGUGAAAUGCACAUCUAAAUCACCUCAGCUUUGUGGUAACAAUGCAGAAGCAUGGCUGAUUCUGUGAAUGUGCAUAGCAAGCCAAAGUUUUGCUGAGAGAGUCAGAAGAUCCCGCUGUCUGAUGUAGGCAGAAUAUUUGCUCUAGCAAGUCAUUUUCAAAGACAUACUGCCAGACCUCCUAUUUCAGAAAUAUGCCAACCUUGUGAUACACCUGGAAAAAAAGGCAAAAUAACCAAAUGGUCUGGCAACAGUUUGUGGCAAACUCACCUACUGAAGCCUGUUCAGUAUCUCACCACAGAACACAUGAUGUUUUCCGUGUUCCAUUCCCAGAGAUGUACUGCUUUUAGAACCCCUUUAAAGAAGAUACUAAACACAAUUGAGAAAGUACAACAAAUAAAACAGCAGCUAUAUUUUAAUUCCCAGCUUAGUAAAUAAAUUAAAAAAAAACACUGUGACCAAUGCUGACUGUUACCAAGGAAACAUAUAAAAGUUAAAAUACAUCAGUCUCCAAGUAACCUUUCAGUUCUGUAUACGACACUGGGACUAUUAAGAAGAUGGUCUUAGAUGGUCCAAGGACAAAGUAGUAACAUGCAGAAUGCUAGGAGAGACAGGAUAUUUGCAUCCCUCUAGUUUGCUUUAGUUAUGCUACUGUCACAAAGCAAGUUACACUAACAUACUGGUCCUGACACCUCCUGCUGUCUGGGCUCUAAGAUUCUUAUAACCUUUGCUUCAUGCAUUUAUUUCUGUGAUGAUAAUAUAAUUCCCUGAGGUACAACACUAUAACUUUUGUACCGCCAUGUCUUCUGUCUUCGUUUUAAGGGAUGUAAAGACAAAAAGUUUUGAAGCAAAGACCCUGAAUUCUCUAGUGAUUGUUUUCUGGGACUCAUGUUAAUGCCCUUUCACCAUGUCGCAUUUGGUAAACAUUCAGACUUAUCUUAUGACAUCUGUAUCAGGUUUCUAAACUACCAAGAACAUAUAGUUUCUACUUAUUGCUUAGCUACUUACAUUUUAUUUUUUUUAUAUUUGAAUUGUGUGCUGUAUUUCUUCAUCUGUGCAUGUGUUUUGCAGCAGUUCCCCUGCUUCCAAAGAACAAGAACAUGUUUGUUAUUAUCUUUUCUGGUGCUUCUGUAAGUGCAAUAGUACACUAUCAAUUAAAGAAGUAUUAUGGCUUCUGAAA
Protopterus annectens (West African lungfish) is the source of this 1348-nucleotide long non-coding RNA. RefSeq lists it as uncharacterized. NCBI's taxonomy places the organism in Eukaryota, Metazoa, Chordata, Ceratodontiformes, Protopteridae. The transcript has 3 exons. The record is from RefSeq and is a predicted model, not a curated record.